This 659-nucleotide ribosomal RNA is filed under the name Andrachne aspera. RNAcentral's name for it is "eukaryotic LSU rRNA". The stretch from base 248 to 403 matches the Rfam family "5.8S ribosomal RNA". The record is from RNAcentral. Lineage: Eukaryota; Viridiplantae; Streptophyta; Magnoliopsida; Malpighiales; Phyllanthaceae.
GUAGGAAGUAGGUGACCUGCGGAAGGAUCAUUGUCGAAACCUGCCUAGCAGAGCAACUUGUGAACAUGUAUACGAACUCGCAGCAAGGGCUUCUGUCCUUACUGCAAAAGGCUCGGGGGACUUGUACCCUUGAGGCUUAUUGUAACUCUAAACCCCGGCGCGGCAAGCGCCAAGGAAAACAAAAUAAAAGAACGCUUUUUAUUGGCCUUCGGGUUGUUGGAAGCGUUUCUUUGUCAUAAACUAAAACGACUCUCGGCAACGGAUAUCUCGGCUCUCGCAUCGAUGAAGAACGUAGCGAAAUGCGAUACUUGGUGUGAAUUGCAGAAUCCCGUGAACCAUCGAGUCUUUGAACGCAAGUUGCGCCCAAAGCCUUCGGGCUGAGGGCACGUCUGCCUGGGUGUCACGAAACGUCGCCCUCCCAACACUAAUAAUGGGGGGAGCGGAGAAUGGCCUCCUGUUGGCUUUUGCCUUCGGUUGGCCCAAAUAAGAGUCCUCGAUGAAGUGCGCCGGCGGCAUUCGGUGGUCGAUACCCUCUGAUGUUGUCGCUUGGUGCAUCUUUGGUCGUCGUGCAGGACUUUGUGGCCCUAAAGACAAUGACGCGACCCCAGGUCAGGUGGGAUUACCCGCUGAGUUUAAGCAUAUCAUAAACCCGGAGGAAA